GACGAACGCUGGCGGCGUGCUUAACACAUGCAAGUCGAACGGAAAGGCCCUGCUUUUGUGGGGUGCUCGAGUGGCGAACGGGUGAGUAACACGUGAGUAACCUGCCCUUGACUUUGGGAUAACUUCAGGAAACUGGGGCUAAUACCGGAUAGGAGCUCCUGCUGCAUGGUGGGGGUUGGAAAGUUUCGGCGGUUGGGGAUGGACUCGGGGCUUAUCAGCUUGUUGGUGGGGUUGUGGCUUACCAAGGCUUUGACGGGUAGCCGGCCUGAGAGGGUGACCGGCCACAUUGGGACUGAGAUACGGCCCAGACUCCUACGGGAGGCAGCAGUGGGGAAUAUUGCACAAUGGGCGGAAGCCUGAUGCAGCAACGCCGCGUGCGGGAUGACGGCCUUCGGGUUGUAAACCGCUUUCGCCUGUGACGAAGCGUGAGUGACGGUAAUGGGUAAAGAAGCACCGGCUAACUACGUG
RNAcentral lists this ribosomal RNA (468 nucleotides) under uncultured bacterium. Its description in RNAcentral is "partial 16S ribosomal RNA". It matches the Rfam family "Bacterial small subunit ribosomal RNA", at positions 28 to 507 of the family's 1533-position model. The record is from RNAcentral.